RNAcentral lists this long non-coding RNA (3346 nucleotides) under Mytilus galloprovincialis (Mediterranean mussel). The record is from RNAcentral. Lineage: Eukaryota; Metazoa; Mollusca; Bivalvia; Mytilida; Mytilidae.
CAAAAAUAUCUAAAAUAAAUGGCCAAAUUCAUCUAAAGUCAACUUUGCCUGAGGGAGUUGAAACCUUAAUACCUUAAAUGUCCGUAUUGUUACACAAUGACAAUUUAAAGUGUCACAAUAUGAUACUAUAAAACAUAUAUAGCUGAGAGGAUGAUGGAGCAGAUUGGUACAUCUCGAAAACCCUUGUCAACCUCUCAGCUAUUUGUUAUUCAAUUAAGUAUACUAAAUAAUCUAUAUUUUUUAUAAAUUUGUCUGUUAAAUUUUACUACUUUUAUUAAAUAAUACGAUAAAAAAAACCAGCCCUAAUACUACCAAAACGGCAUGUGUCAUACUGGUGACGUCAUCCUGGUCAUAUAAAUCACGUGAUCUAUAUUGCUUUUCAGCCGGGUCCAAUAUUUCCAAUGAAUCCUGAAUGACAUGUAAACAUAUAUUGUGCAUGUAAUUCAUGAUUCAUUGCCAGUCCGUAUUGAAAAUAUUGGCCCUAUAUUCACUUCAUUGCCAGUCCGUUUUGGAAAUAUUGGCCAAAUAUUUACAUUUUAUGUAUGUAAUACAGAAUUCAGAACAAGUCUGUAUUGAAAAAGUGGAUUAUUGAAUAAAAGUGUUUUGAACUGGCUGUUUCUGUAUUGGCACUAGUAUAGAUUCUUCUUCGGGUCUCGAGGCCAAUACAGCACACCUUGAAUCUAUACCAGUGUCAAUACAGAAAAAGUCAGUUAACAACACUAUAAUACAUGACGGCAGGUAUGUAACAACGUAACAAUAAUUUUUUUUUUUAAUUUUUAUUUUUUUAUCCAACAUAUAUAAUAUACAACAGUACAGUUAUCAAACACUAAGCUCAUAUAUAUGAAUGUAAUAUAAUACAACCUAUCAGAAAAUGUAUAGAACUUGAAAAUAACAUUUUGUUGGGAUUUUAUAAUUGUAUCUUAUUAAAAAGGACAUACAAAAAAAAGUAUAUAGAAUUAAUAAAUAAAAGAAUUAAAAGAUGAUUAAGAAAAAUUAAAAAAAAAAACGAAAAAAAAAAAAAAAAAAAAAAAAAAAAAAAAAAUUUAGUUUGAUGUCUGCUAAUUUUGUAUAGUUGCUAAUCCACCAAAUUAUCCUGUAAAGCCUCUUGGUAAAUGCACCAAGCUUGAUUAAACUUGUCAAAACAUUUAUUUUUAAUUGAUAUCUUCUUUUCCAAAAUAUAAUUAUGCUUUAUUUUUUCAAUCAAUGCUGUUAAACUUAAUUCUCCUUUAAAAUAUCGUGUAUUAUAAAUAUAUUGUUUAAUCCAGAGAAAAAUAUUGUUUUGAGGGUCACCUUUGUACAUUCGUGAUAUAUUUCCAAACAAAAAAAUAUCUUGUGUAAAUGGUAUACUAAUACCAUUCUGGAGAAACCACAUUUCAGUUUGCUCAAUAAAUUGUUGUACAUAAUAACAGUCCACAGUAUAUGUUCAAUUGAUUCAAGUUCAGUGUUACAAAAAGUACAAUAUGGGUUUUGCACUAUCCCAAUUUUGUUUAAAAACGUAUUUGUUGCCAGAAUUUUAUGAUUAAUUCUAUACUGAAGCCAUUGUAGCUUAGUAUUUUUUGUAAUAGCAAAUGGUAAUUGAAAAAUCUUAUUCCAGUUUUGAUUUUCUAAAACUAAAAUUGCUUCCCAUCUUUUUACUCCUGUAGGAACAGUGUUGUUUUUGUUUAGCACCAAAUACAUAUCUUUAGAUCCCUUUUUGCUUUUGAGAAUGGUCUUUAUUACUGAUGGUAUGAAAGGAGAUACUAAUUUAUAAUCUCCCCUAUUAAUUUUUUUGGAAGUCUUAGUUAGCACAGAAAUUAUGCUAUUAUAUUUUAUGAUGUCUAUAUCCAUCUGAAAACACUCCUGAAAUUGAUAAAAAUUUAGAAAGGUACCAUUCUCCCCAACAAUAUCAUUUACAUGUAUAAUACCCUUACUAUGCCAGUCUUUGAAAAACACUGGUUUGUUGUCAAUUUGGAAUAGGUUAUUCAUCCAAAUUGUACUAGAAAGAAAAUAUUCCCAGUCGUGCAAAUUUAUUUCUUUUUCAAUUACCGUUACAAUAAUUAGAAACCUAACAAGUAAUGCAAUAUUUUUUGUUAUUUGAACAGUGUGAAAUUUGAAAAAAAAAUCUGAGGAUAAAACGUAGAACAUGUGUAUGGUUUAAUUAAAUUGAUAUAAGUUAAGCCAUAGGAUAGAGUAAUCCAAUCACAAUCUGUCAUAUAUACGUGCUUUAUAAUAAAUGAAUGCCUUAAACGCAGUUAUAUACAAUUUAUCUUCAUGCAUAUGUAUCAAACGCGUUAACUCUUUGGAAUCACGGUGUAUCAAAACACCUUUGAUAUAUAUGUACAUAUUCAAUACAAAGUCAAUAUCAGAUGAUUAUCAAUUAUUUUCUGUAAGACUAAUACAUUGUACAUAUUGAGCUUAUCUCGGUAUGGUAUACAGAGUAUGAUAACAAGUAAGUUACAGUAUUCAACUCAACUCUCAUGAAUACUUCCCCAUCGAUAAACAUUAAAUGUGUUUUUUUAAUUUGAUAGAUGCUUUUUGUAAAUGUUUGUUCGUUUUGAGACUAUAACGCAGAGAUGACAGCUGUAACCAUAGUUUAUCUAUUUUACCGAUUAUGUCGGUUUUGUUCAAGCAUCGUUGUAAAAAUAACGGCAUUUUAUGCGACUGUCAUCAAAGUGAGAGGUUUAUCGUUAUAAAACAAGGUUCAUUCCACCAUUUUCUACGUUUGAAAUUGCCUGUACCAAAUCAGGAAUAUGACAGUUGUUGUCCAUUCGUUUGAUGUGCUUUAUCAUUUGAUUUUGGCAUUUGAUUAGGGACUUUCCGAUUGAAUUUUCCUCUGAGUUCAGUAUUGUAAGUAUAGAUAAAUACAAAAGUCUUAUAAAUGUUCCGACAUGUGAGUCAGUGUUUAAUUUUAUUCUUGCCAACACAAAAAGUGGCAUCGCACAUUUCGUUUGUAAAUAAAGCAAAGUGACAAGUAAGAGUCAUUUUUCAUGGAAAGAAAAAGCUGAUAAUACAGAUAAAAAAUCAGGAACAUUAUUUAUUGGAAACAUUUUCUUGCUAGAGAUAAUCGAAGUUGUUAAUUUUUUCCUUGACUACAUUUAUGUACAUUCAUUAUAGCCGGUUGCAUUGAGUGUGUAGAUAAAGGUAAUACCUGGGAUCUUUGGUUAGCUUGCUUGAUAGCUGAACCGCGAAGUCAUCAUUGGGUUAGGUAAUAGUUCAGUUUGUAUGUAAAUUAGGUCAACUUUUUUGUAUGAGGCUGAGAAACUGGGGAAGGGCGAGGUUCUUCCCCAGUUUUGCGCUGAGUAUAAAAAAAGUUGAUAUUUUUCUGACAUUGACCUAAUAUUGUAUUUAUACUGCAACUUAAAUAAAU